AACGAACGCUGGCGGCAGGCCUAACACAUGCCGGUCGAGCGGACCCUUCGGGGUUAGCGGCGGACGGGUGAGUAACGCGUGGGAAUAUGCCCUUCUCUACGGAAUAGUCCUGGGAAACUGGGGGUAAUACCGUAUACGCCCUUGGGGGGAAAGAUUUAUCGGGGAAGGAUUAGCCCGCGUUGGAUUAGGUAGUUGGUGGGGUAAUGGCCUACCAAGCCGACGAUCCAUAGCUGGUUUGAGAGGAUGAUCAGCCACACUGGGACUGAGACACGGCCCAGACUCCUACGGGAGGCAGCAGUGGGGAAUCUUAGACAAUGGGGGCAACCCUGAUCGAGCCAUGCCGCGUGAGUGAUGAAGGCCUUAGGGUUGUAAAGCGCUUUCAGCUGGGAAGAUAAUGACGGUACCAGCAGAAGAAGCCCCGGCUAACUCCGUG
Molecule: ribosomal RNA, 433 nt
Filed under: uncultured bacterium
Lineage: Bacteria
Description: partial 16S ribosomal RNA
Rfam family: Bacterial small subunit ribosomal RNA
Source: RNAcentral